CUAAUUAACAAACAUAUUCAUGCUUUUUCCUCAAGGGGUUAUUAUAUUCCAUGAUGUGUUUGACAAUGAAUAUAAUGUUGGUGGUGCCCAGAUAAGAGUGGAAGGUGUAUAUAUAUGGCCUUUUAGACAGCUUCGGAUGGUAGCCAACAGUGGAAAAGAGGGAGAAUUGAAUCAGGAUGGAGAUUAUAUUUUAUCCAAUCCAUACCAUCUGCUUGGAGUUUUCUCAUCUCAGGUACUGCAAGAUUCUUCCCGAGAUAAGAUGUGGAGAAAGAAACAUUCUCCAAUGCAUGACAUGGAGAAACAUUGUAAUAUUAAAAUUGCUUUAGCUCUGAUAACAAAAUUGGUCAGGGUAGAUUCGGAGCUGUCUAUUUUGCAAAAUUGAGAGGCCAAAAAGCAACAAUCAAGAAGAUGGAUGUUCAAGCAUCAACAGAGUUUCUUUUAGAGUUAAAGGUCUUAAAACAUGUUCAUCACUUGAAUCUGGCAACUACUUUCUUCUACACCAAAACGUCGAGUUUCUAUGGCAUUCAGUGAAUCUCAACUUCACUCUGAACAAUUUAGGUGCAUUUGAUUGGAUAUUGCGUCAAGGGAUCUCUUUCCUUGUGUAUGAAUACAUUGAAAAUGGAAACUUAGGCCAAUAUUUGCAUGGUACAGGGAGAGAACCUUUGGCAUGGUCAACAAGGGUGCAAAUUGCUCUGGAUUCAGCAAGAGGACUUGAAUAUAUACGUGAACACAUUGUUCCUGUUUAUAUCCACCAUGAUGUGAAACCUGCUAACAUAUUAAUAUAUAAAGACUUCCGUGAAAAGGUUAGUUUAUUGUAAUAUUCUUGGCAAUAAUCAUUAUUUUGCAAUUUUUGUUUUCUUUUUUCUGAUGAGACUAAUAUUAAAACUGUCUAAUAAGAUUUUGAAAAUUCACCAGGUUGCAAAUUUUGGGCUAACUAAACUUAGGAAAGUUGGAAGCUCUUUAUCACUUCAUACUUGUCUUGUGGGAACAUUUGGAUACAUGCCUCUAGUAUACUUCUGGCAAUCAAAUCAAAAUAAAACAAGCUACAAGAAGUCAUGGUUGGAUUAGUAGCAAAUGUUUUCACAUUCAUGUCCUCUCAGGAAUCAAACUAUGUAUUUCAAGAAGCUGGAAUCACUGAAGUUGAACUGGCAAGUAUAUUAGUACAUAUUCUCAAGAAGCACAAGUAUCUGGCAACAAAGGUGCUGGAGGAUAAGGAGGUUUGCCAUAGAGUUUGUGAUUUGGAUGAUGAAAGAUAAAACAGAAAAUAUAGAUACCUUCAAGCAUAUGGGAAUGGAGAAGGUGCUGGAAGGUGUAUUAGAAACCACAUCAGAGCUUGAAAGCUUCAAUUUUUUCUCUGGUACUGUUGGAUUGAAUAGGCACAAUCUAACAAUUCACUCACUGGUUGAGAUAGCCUUUAAAUUGCUGGAAAACAGGUGAAGUAAUACAUCACUUUUGAACCAUAUUGUAAAAUUAGUAAUCCAUGUUAACCUUGAGCGAAAAUUGUAAAUUUGUAACACUGUACACUAUUGUUUGUUUUGUGUAAAUAUGUAUUAUCCCAUAUUAAUUUUGAUUUUGGUUUUUAGUUUUGAUGGUUAUUUAUUUAUUUUUCCUUCUAGAUUUUGAUUCUUCAAUCGAAGAAUCAAUGCUUUAUUGAUUUGUAUCAGUAAGGACAAAUUAUUAAUGAAAAUCCAGGAGGAACACUUUUCAGUGCUA
Molecule: non-coding RNA, 1713 nt
Organism: Arachis ipaensis
Lineage: Eukaryota; Viridiplantae; Streptophyta; Magnoliopsida; Fabales; Fabaceae
Source: RefSeq, a predicted model, not a curated record